UACGUAGGUGGCAAGCGUUAUCCGGAUUUAUUGGGCGUAAAGGGAACGCAGGCGGUCUUUUAAGUCUGAUGUGAAAGCCUUCGGCUUAACCGGAGUAGUGCAUUGGAAACUGGGAGACUUGAGUGCGGAAGAGGAGAGUGGAAUUCCAUGUGUAGCGGUGAAAUGCGUAGAUAUAUGGAGGAACACCGGUGGCGAAAGCGGCUCUCUGGCCUGUAACUGACACUGAGGCUCGAAAGCGUGGGGAGCAAACAGG
This 253-nucleotide ribosomal RNA is filed under the name uncultured bacterium. Its description in RNAcentral is "partial 16S ribosomal RNA". It matches the Rfam family "Bacterial small subunit ribosomal RNA", at positions 524 to 776 of the family's 1533-position model. The record is from RNAcentral.